RNAcentral lists this ribosomal RNA (465 nucleotides) under uncultured bacterium. Its description in RNAcentral is "partial 16S ribosomal RNA". It matches the Rfam family "Bacterial small subunit ribosomal RNA", at positions 29 to 507 of the family's 1533-position model. The record is from RNAcentral.
AAUGAACGUUGGCGGCGUGGAUUAGGCAUGCAAGUCGAGCGAGAACCCCGCAAGGGGGGACAGCGGCGAAAGGGACAGUAAUGUGUAGAUUAUCUGCCCUCAGGUCCGGGAUAGCUGCGGGAAACUGCAGGUAAUACCGGAUAACAUCUCCGGAUCAAAGGUGUGAUUCCGCCUGAGGAUGAGUCUGCAUCCUAUUAGCUAGUUGGUGGGGUAAUGGCCUACCAAGGCAUUGAUGGGUAGCGGGUGUGAGAGCACGACCUGCGUCAUUGGGACUGAGACACUGCCCAGACACCUACGGGUGGCUGCAGUCGAGAAUCUUCGGCAAUGGGCGCAAGCCUGACCGAGCGACGCCGCGUGUGGGAUGAAGGCCUUCGGGUUGUAAACCACUGUCAGAGGGGAUGAAAUGCAGGUGGGUUCUCCCAUCUGUUUGACAUAGCCUCAGAGGAAGGACGGGCUAAGUUCGUG